This 490-nucleotide ribosomal RNA is filed under the name uncultured bacterium. Its description in RNAcentral is "partial 16S ribosomal RNA". It matches the Rfam family "Bacterial small subunit ribosomal RNA", at positions 30 to 507 of the family's 1533-position model. The record is from RNAcentral.
AUUGAACGCUGGCGGCAGGCCUAACACAUGCAAGUCGAACGGUAACAGGAAGAAGCUUGCUUCUUUGCUGACGAGUGGCGGACGGGUGAGUAAUGUCUGGGAAACUGCCUGAUGGAGGGGGAUAACUACUGGAAACGGUAGCUAAUACCGCAUAACGUCGCAAGACCAAAGAGGGGGACCUUCGGGCCUCUUGCCAUCGGAUGUGCCCAGAUGGGAUUAGCUUGUUGGUGGGGUAACGGCUCACCAAGGCGACGAUCCCUAGCUGGUCUGAGAGGAUGACCGGCCACAUUGGGACUGAGAUACGGCCCAGACUCCUACGGGAGGCAGCAGUGGGGAAUAUUGCACAAUGGGCGCAAGCCUGAUGCAGCCAUGCCGCGUGUAUGAAGAAGGCCUUCGGGUUGUAAAGUACUUUCAGCGGGGAGGAAGGGAGUAAAGUUAAUACCUUUGCUCAUUGACGUUACCCGCAGAAGAAGCACCGGCUAACUCCGUG